GAUGAACGCUAGCUACAGGCUUAACACAUGCAAGUCGCGGGGCAGCAUGUUACUGGCUUGCCAGUAAUGAUGGCGACCGGCGCACGGGUGAGUAUCGCGUAUCCAACCUUCCCAUAUCCCGACGGGAUACGCCUGACCGAAAGGCAGUAUUAACUACCGUAUGUUGUCGCACGCGUGGCAUACAAAUGACCGAACGAAAGGUCUUAGGCGGAUAGUGGAGUGGGGAU
This 227-nucleotide ribosomal RNA is filed under the name uncultured bacterium. RNAcentral's name for it is "partial 16S ribosomal RNA". The record is from RNAcentral.